Molecule: non-coding RNA, 155 nt
Filed under: Bordetella sp.
Lineage: Bacteria; Pseudomonadati; Pseudomonadota; Betaproteobacteria; Burkholderiales; Alcaligenaceae
Also listed under: 1 other name
Description: FMN sequence
Rfam family: FMN riboswitch aptamer (RFN element)
About the family: The RFN element is a highly conserved domain that is found frequently in the 5'-untranslated regions of prokaryotic mRNAs that encode for flavin mononucleotide (FMN) biosynthesis and transport proteins.
Source: RNAcentral
GUACGUCUUCAGGGCGGGGUGCAAGUCCCCACCGGCGGUAGGUUGCGAAAGCGACGAGCCCGCGAGCGUCCGGCAGUCCGCAACGGCGGCCGGAGUCAGCAGAUCUGGUCCAAGUCCAGAGCCGACGGUCAUAGUCCGGAUGAGAGAAGAUGUGC